This 505-nucleotide ribosomal RNA is filed under the name uncultured bacterium. Its description in RNAcentral is "partial 16S ribosomal RNA". It matches the Rfam family "Bacterial small subunit ribosomal RNA", at positions 28 to 507 of the family's 1533-position model. The record is from RNAcentral.
GACGAACGCUGGCGGCGUGCCUAAUACAUGCAAGUAGAACGCACAGUUUAUACCGUAGCUUGCUACACCAUAGACUGUGAGUUGCGAACGGGUGAGUAACGCGUAGGUAACCUGCCUGGUAGCGGGGGAUAACUAUUGGAAACGAUAGCUAAUACCGCAUAAUAUUAAUUAUUGCAUGAUAAUUAAUUGAAAGGUGCAAUUGCACCACUACCAGAUGGACCUGCGUUGUAUUAGCUAGUAGGGGAGGUAACGGCUCACCUAGGCGACGAUACAUAGCCGACCUGAGAGGCGGGUCGGCCACACUGGGACUGGGACACGGCCCAGACUCCUACGGGAGGCAGCAGUAGGGAAGCGUCGGCAAUGGACGAAAGUCUUACCGAGCAACGCCGCGUGAGUGAAGAAGGUUUUCGGUUCGUAAAGCUCGGUUGUAAGAGAAGAACGGGUGUGAGAGUGGAAAGUUCACACUGUGACGGUAUCUUACCAGAAAGGGACGGCUAACUACGUG